GGCGGACGGGUGAGUAAUGUCUGGGAAACUGCCUGAUGGAGGGGGAUAACUACUGGAAACGGUAGCUAAUACCGCAUAACGUCGCAAGACCAAAGUGGGGGACCUUCGGGCCUCAUGCCAUCAGAUGUGCCCAGAUGGGAUUAGCUAGUAGGUGGGGUAACGGCUCACCUAGGCGACGAUCCCUAGCUGGUCUGAGAGGAUGACCAGCCACACUGGAACUGAGACACGGUCCAGACUCCUACGGGAGGCAGCAGUGGGGAAUAUUGCACAAUGGGCGCAAGCCUGAUGCAGCCAUGCCGCGUGUGUGAAGAAGGCCUUCGGGUUGUAAAGCACUUUCAGCGGGGAGGAAGGCGAUAAGGUUAAUAACCUUGUCGAUUGACGUUACCCGCAGAAGAAGCACCGGCUAACUCCGUGCCAGCAGCCGCGGUAAUACGGAGGGUGCAAGCGUUAAUCGGAAUUACUGGGCGUAAAGCGCACGCAGGCGGUCUGUCAAGUCGGAUGUGAAAUCCCCGGGCUCAACCUGGGAACUGCAUUCGAAACUGGCAGGCUAGAGUCUUGUAGAGGGGGGUAGAAUUCCAGGUGUAGCGGUGAAAUGCGUAGAGAUCUGGAGGAAUACCGGUGGCGAAGGCGGCCCCCUGGACAAAGACUGACGCUCAGGUGCAAAAGCGUGGGGAGCAAACAGGAUUAGAUACCCUGGUAGUCCACGCCGUAAACGAUGUCGAUUUGGAGGUUGUGCCCUUCAGGCGUGGCUUCCGGAGCUAACGCGUUAAAUUGACCGCCUGGGGAGUACGGCCGCAAGGUUAAAACUUAAAUGAAUUGACGGGGGCCCGCACAAGCGGUGGAGCAUGUGGUUUAAUUUGAUGCAACGCGAAGAACCUUACCUGGUUUUGACAUCCACAGAACUUUCCAGAGAUGGAUUGGUGCCUUUGGGAACUGUGAGACAGGUGCUGCAUGGCUGUCGUCAGCUCGUGUUGUGAAAUGUUGGGUUAAGUCCCGCAACGAGCGCAACCCUUAUCCUUUGUUGCCAGCGGUUAGGCCGGGAACUCAAAGGAGACUGCCAGUGAUAAACUGGAGGAAGGUGGGGAUGA
This 1088-nucleotide ribosomal RNA is filed under the name Klebsiella pneumoniae subsp. rhinoscleromatis. RNAcentral describes it as "bacterial SSU rRNA". It matches the Rfam family "Bacterial small subunit ribosomal RNA", at positions 97 to 1182 of the family's 1533-position model. Lineage: Bacteria; Pseudomonadati; Pseudomonadota; Gammaproteobacteria; Enterobacterales; Enterobacteriaceae. The record is from RNAcentral.